RNAcentral lists this ribosomal RNA (492 nucleotides) under uncultured bacterium. RNAcentral's name for it is "partial 16S ribosomal RNA". It matches the Rfam family "Bacterial small subunit ribosomal RNA", at positions 29 to 507 of the family's 1533-position model. The record is from RNAcentral.
AGUGAACGCUGGCGGUAGGCCUAACACAUGCAAGUCGAACGGCAGCACAGUAAGAGCUUGCUCUUACGGGUGGCGAGUGGCGGACGGGUGAGGAAUACAUCGGAAUCUACUUUUUCGUGGGGGAUAACGUAGGGAAACUUACGCUAAUACCGCAUACGACCUACGGGUGAAAGCAGGGGAUCUUCGGACCUUGCGCGACUGAAUGAGCCGAUGUCGGAUUAGCUAGUUGGCGGGGUAAAGGCCCACCAAGGCGACGAUCCGUAGCUGGUCUGAGAGGAUGAUAAGCCACCUUGGAAGUGAGACACGGUCAAGACUCCUACGGGAGGCAGCAGUGGGGAAUAUUGGACAAUGGGCGCAAGCCUGAUCCAGCCAUACCGAGUGGGUGAAGAAGGCCUUCGGGUUGUAAAGCCCUUUUGUUGGGAAAGAAAAGCAGCAGGUUAAUACCACGCUGUUCUGGCGGUACCCAAAGAAUAAGCACCGGCUAACUUCGUG